Molecule: long non-coding RNA, 737 nt
Organism: Apus apus (common swift)
Lineage: Eukaryota; Metazoa; Chordata; Aves; Apodiformes; Apodidae
Exons: 3
Source: RefSeq, a predicted model, not a curated record
GGUCUUGGCCACGGGCUCCGUCUCCCGGCCGGCCUCGGGUGCCGCGCUCUGCGGGCUUUCUCUUCGGCCGCUGAGGCGUCUGGCCAAGGCCGGGUGGCCAGGGAGGGUGCGGGCUGCCCCGGCAGCAGCUCCACACACCGGGAGGCGUGUGGGAGUCACGGGGCUGCAGGGUCAGCGUGGCGACUCGCGUGACUCCGCCUCGCUGUGGCUUCGCCCUCCUCCCCGGCCGCUCAGCGUUCCUUGCUCUCGUGUCGCGCCUCCCCCGCCCGCGAAACUGUCACGCCUAAUUCCUGACGGCAGGCAAGUACUGGAGUGAGGCCAUCGACCCCCACUGCCCAGGGCACUGGGACGCACUUGAAGCAGCAAAUUCGUCUGUUUGCCCGGCUUUGAGCCACUCGGUAUCACGGAUGUCUUCUGGCAGGAACAAAGGUACUCCAUCGUUAACACUGAAGCAAAUUCCUUGUAAUUCUUAAUCUACCUUCACUUCACCAUGAAAGAAGCACACCACAUGUUCUGGACACAACCACCAAGAACUAACUGGAGGUUGCUUUUCUUUUGUAUUUUGCUUAACAUUGAGGACUGCGUUGUGGAUCCCACAUGUAGGUAUUUGACUAAGAAAUAAAGGGAUGCUAUUAUCAAGGCAUUUUAAAUACUAGUAACUUUUGUCACAUAUCCCCCUAAACAAUAAGUGUGUGUGUAGAAUCUAAACCUAAGUAAAAAGCCAUUUUAUUUCUCUA